UACGUAGGGUGCAAGCGUUGUCCGGAAAGUUACUGGGCGUAAAGAGUUCGUAGGCGGUUUGGUCGCGUCGUUUGUGAAAACCCGCGGCUACAACUGCGGGCUUGCAGCCGAUACGGGCAGGCUAGAGUUCGGUAGGGGAGACUGGAAUUCCUGGUGUAGCGGUGAAAUGCGCAGAUAUCAGGAGGAACGACCGGUGGCGAAGGCGGGUCUCUGGGCCGAUACUGACGCUGAGGAGCGAAAGCGGUGGGGAGCGAACAGG
This 259-nucleotide ribosomal RNA is filed under the name uncultured bacterium. RNAcentral describes it as "partial 16S ribosomal RNA". It matches the Rfam family "Bacterial small subunit ribosomal RNA", at positions 524 to 776 of the family's 1533-position model. The record is from RNAcentral.